This 440-nucleotide ribosomal RNA is filed under the name uncultured bacterium. Its description in RNAcentral is "partial 16S ribosomal RNA". It matches the Rfam family "Bacterial small subunit ribosomal RNA", at positions 338 to 795 of the family's 1533-position model. The record is from RNAcentral.
CCUACGGGAGGCAGCAGUAGGGAAUAUUGCUCAAUGGGGGAAACCCUGAAGCAGCAACGCCGCGUGGAGGAUGAAGGUUUUCUGAUUGUAAACUCCUUUUGUUAGAGAAGAUAAUGACGGUAUCUAACGAAUAAGCACCGGCGAUAACCGUGCCAGCAGCCGCGGUAAUACGGAGGGUGCAAGCGUUACUCGGAAUCACUGGGCGUAAAGAGCGCGUAGGCGGGAUAGCAAGUCAGAUGUGAAAUCCUAUGGCUUAACCAUAGAACUGCAUUUGAAACUGUUAUUCUAGAGUAUGGGAGAGGUAGGUGGAAUUCUUGGUGUAGGGGUAAAAUCCGUAGAGAUCAAGAGGAAUACUCAUUGCGAAGGCGGCCUGCUGGAACAUAACUGACGCUGAUGCGCGAAAGCGUGGGGAGCAAACAGGAUUAGAUACCCUUGUAGUC